RNAcentral lists this ribosomal RNA (301 nucleotides) under uncultured bacterium. RNAcentral describes it as "partial 16S ribosomal RNA". It matches the Rfam family "Bacterial small subunit ribosomal RNA", at positions 509 to 807 of the family's 1533-position model. The record is from RNAcentral.
CAGUAGCCGCGGUAAUACGGAGGGUGCAAGCGUUAAUCGGAAUUACUGGGCGUAAAGCGCACGCAGGCGGUCUGACAAGUCAGAUGUGAAAUCCCCGGGCUUAACCUGGGAACUGCAUUUGAAACUGUCAGGCUGGAGUCUUGUAGAGGGGGGUAGAAUUCCAGGUGUAGCGGUGAAAUGCGUAGAGAUCUGGAGGAAUACCGGUGGCGAAGGCGGCCCCCUGGACAAAGACUGACGCUCAGGUGCGAAAGCGUGGGGAGCAAACAGGAUUAGAUACCCCGGUAGUCCCUGUCUCUUAUAC